This 1601-nucleotide long non-coding RNA is filed under the name Phasianus colchicus (ring-necked pheasant). Its description in RNAcentral is "lncRNA (ENSPCLG00000001245.1)". Lineage: Eukaryota; Metazoa; Chordata; Aves; Galliformes; Phasianidae. The record is from RNAcentral.
CUUGUCAAAUCACCUAGAUCCUCUCUGCACUAAAAACAAUACUUGAAUUCUUUCAGAAAAAACCUCCAUCAACAUUCAAUUUGAAAAUAAUAGAACAACAAGUAGCAGGAAUUCAACGUGUCAGCCCUAUCUUUGAGCAGGACUACAUUAUUCAGUAGAAAUCUAUUCUAGACUGUGAAAGAUAUGUGAUAAGAUGAUGAACUGACUGAAGAACAGCUGUACAUUUAUGGAUUGCAAAAGCUGCUUUAAAUGAUGGAACAGAAAAUAUCAGUAUUUGAUGAACUGUACUGUAAAGAAUCACAAAAGAUUCUUAUAGAUCCUGAGAAUGUGACAUAGUAUUUAAGCAAAACUGGUGAACGCUCAAAAAACCAACUCACCAUUGUUUUUGCUGAUCAAUGUUAAGGACUUACAUAUGGUCCUUGUUCACGUUCUCUCUAUUAGAGGGGGUUUCUCUCAGUUUCAGUAGUUGGCAGUCAUGAUUUCUCAUUUUCACAAUUGCAGUUGCUGUUAAAUCGCUUCUGCUUGAAAAACUCUUGCAAGUUACAUCACUGGGAAUCAUCAAAGUUGCCAUUUUGGAGAAUACAGAUCAUUGUCAGCCAUAAGUACGACCUCACGGAAAAAGAGAGACAUUGCAGUGAAUCAGCCCCCAGACGUGUCACAGGAGUGUCUGCGUUUGCACGCAAGAGGCUUCUGAAGAGACCUUCAGCACAGCUCUGCCGAGACACUGCCUGUGCUGGGGUGAGGAACCCCCCUGGCAGAAGUGAGUGAGUGCGUGAACGAGGGAAGGAGUGAAAGACUGCCUGUCAGACUGCACUACCUGUGUGUUAAUCUGACCACUUCAGACAACGAGUACCACACAGAACCCAUGUUGUUCCAAGAUGUGAAUUCACAUACAAAGCAAGCUGUAAGUCUCAUCAUAAAAGCUUGUUCAUCUCUGAAAAGCUAGUCUGCUUCAGGUGCUUGUGAUUCCCAAUUGGGAAAGCUGGUGUAAUUCAUCUCUUGGCAUGUUUGUACUGCAUCUAAUGCAACAGAACCAUGAUCGCAGUGGGGAGAGGAAGACUUCUUUCUGAGGAGAUGGGGAAGGUGUUACAAAGGUGCAUUUAUGGUAGCAUGUUGAUGGAGGGGGAAGCAUAAGAGUGUUUACCCAAGGUAACAUAAUGUGAGUUGCCCUGAGACACAAAAGGGUUUAUCAUUACAGAUUCUUGAGCCAUGGAAGAGGGCCACCAACAGCGAAUGGCUUCAGCAAAGUCAAGCCAACUUCUUUCCAAGGCCUCACACAUUAGUUCACGCCGAGUCUGACCAUCUGAGUUCCUUGGAAGUGAAUGCAAAUGCCUACGUGAAGCCCAAGCAAGCUGGACUUUUUGUGAAACAUUACUAAUUAUAUUUAUAUGGUGGUAGCACUCAGGAACUGCUGACCAUAGAGUAAACAUAGUUUCUGCCUGAAGGCCAGAAGGUACAGUUCUGUACAGAAAAUACUUCAUAGAAGUUGUAUUACCAUCAGCGUGGUCUUGCUCUGCAAAUCUACUUAAUCUAUGUAUUUAGAGUCAUGUGCGCUUUAGUGACGUAAUAAAGGCCAGUUAAUUCUUUUCCCUACUCUGAUG